AACCAAAGUUUUUCGUGUUCCGGGGGAAGUAUGGUUGCAAAGCUGAAACUUAAAGGAAUUGACGGAAGGGCACCACCAGGAGUGGAGCCUGCGGCUUAAUUUGACUCACACACGGAGAAAACUUACCCGGCCCGGACACUGAAAAGAUUGACAGAUUGAGAGCUCUUUCUUGAUUCAGUGGGUGGUGGUGCGUGGCCGUUCUUAUUUGGUGGAGCGAUUUGUCUGGUUAAUUCAGAUAACGAAAGACACUCUAGCCUACUAAAUAUACUGCCGGCUUACAAACGUCAGUUGCUUCUUAUAAGAGGAAGGGGCGAUACUCCCCCACCAAAAAAAAA
RNAcentral lists this ribosomal RNA (335 nucleotides) under uncultured eukaryote. Its description in RNAcentral is "partial 18S ribosomal RNA". It matches the Rfam family "Eukaryotic small subunit ribosomal RNA", at positions 1096 to 1433 of the family's 1831-position model. The record is from RNAcentral.